UGCGUAGGUGGUCUUUCAAGUCAGAAGUGAAAGGCAUUGGCUCAACCAAUGUAAGCUUUUGAAACUGAAAGACUUGAGUGCAGGAGAGGUAAGUGGAAUUCCUAGUGUAGCGGUGAAAUGCGUAGAUAUUAGGAGGAACACCAGUGGCGAAGGCGACUUACUGGACUGUUACUGACACUGAGGCACGAAAGCGUGGGGAGCGAACAGGAUUAGAUACCCUGGUAGUCC
This 228-nucleotide ribosomal RNA is filed under the name uncultured bacterium. RNAcentral describes it as "partial 16S ribosomal RNA". It matches the Rfam family "Bacterial small subunit ribosomal RNA", at positions 568 to 796 of the family's 1533-position model. The record is from RNAcentral.